UAAACAUUUCCGCCAUUUUAUUUUACACGAGGCAGCUGUCGGUAAGCAACGGGUGAGCAACAGUCUGAGUGAAAACCUUCACAUUUCUACUUCGAUCUUAAGAAAGCCAUACAGGUUUGGAACCAAGUGAAAACGCAGUGAUGACCAGCUUUCCAUCAGCUACGGAAUGUGAAAUAAAAAAUGCUAUUUCUAAUCAUUUCAAACAAGCACCAGGGAGGGCAGGGGGUGGGGGUUAUGGAUCUAAAGUAAACAGUUAAUUCUUAAAAAUU
Molecule: long non-coding RNA, 269 nt
Organism: Carassius carassius (crucian carp)
Lineage: Eukaryota; Metazoa; Chordata; Actinopteri; Cypriniformes; Cyprinidae
Exons: 4
Source: RefSeq, a predicted model, not a curated record